AUCCAGUUGACGAGUCCCAAACAGGACGAAACGCGCAUCCUGGAU
Molecule: non-coding RNA, 45 nt
Organism: Schistosoma mansoni
Lineage: Eukaryota; Metazoa; Platyhelminthes; Trematoda; Strigeidida; Schistosomatidae
Source: Rfam